This 68-nucleotide transfer RNA is filed under the name Phthiridium szechuanum. RNAcentral describes it as "tRNA-Met". It matches the Rfam family "tRNA". Rfam says of the family: Transfer RNA (tRNA) molecules are approximately 80 nucleotides in length. Their secondary structure includes four short double-helical elements and three loops (D, anti-codon, and T loops). Lineage: Eukaryota; Metazoa; Arthropoda; Insecta; Diptera; Nycteribiidae. The record is from RNAcentral.
AAAAAGAUAAGCUAAAAAAGCUUUUGGGUUCAUACCCCAUUUAUAAAGGUAAAAUCCUUUUCUUUUUA